Molecule: long non-coding RNA, 1732 nt
Organism: Arabidopsis thaliana (thale cress)
Lineage: Eukaryota; Viridiplantae; Streptophyta; Magnoliopsida; Brassicales; Brassicaceae
Product: other RNA
Exons: 1
Source: RefSeq
UACAAAUUGAUUUUAUACUUUAGUCUCUCCACCAACCAAUGUGAAGCUAUCAUUGAUGUGUAAUGUGUUUCCUCAGAAACGCCUAAUAGAUUAAUGCUAAACUAGAUAACAAACAGAGUAACUAAAAUUGUAAUUGAUAUGUUAAUCAUCUCCACCAACGUAUCCUCCUCCUCUCAUUGCCUCCACCAUCUUCAGGCUCAAUCGGUUUUUGUCCAUUGCAUGCGACACUUGCUCUCGCUUAUUCAGAAGUCUCAGAAUGUCGGCUGUACUCUCCAUGUCUCUCCGACCCUCCACAUAUUGCACGCAGGCAAAAGCGGAGAGAGCCAUGCUGUUCUUUGGGUUCCAGCGGUCAUGCAGCCUCCCUUCCAUGGCCUCUGCCACUCUCUUCCUCCUCUCCUCUUCUUUAGCAUCUUCAUCCUCCACCAAAGUAUUAACCUUGUGAGCCAAACUCUCCCAUUUGCUCUCCUUCUUCCCAAGCAUAUCAACAACCUUCUCAGCCUCCUCCUUCACGCAUCUAUGUUGGAGACCAAAGUCCAUCAGAUCAAGAUUGGGACACUCAUUCCACUCUUCCAUAACCCCAUCGAGAUCACCCUUCUUCGUAAACGCCUUGACGAUAUCAGAACAUCUGGAACUGUCAAAGGAUAUCCCAUAGUCCUUAGCCAAGUUCCAGAGACGGUAAACAUCCUCUGUUAGAUUCUCGUUACAAUAAACAGUCAUGAGACAUCCAUAUAUGAUUUCUCUACAGCCGUCAUCAACAAAUGUCUCUGACCUACGAAGCAAAGCUAAACCCUUUUCCAUAAAUCCUGCUCGUAUGUAGACCAAUCCUGGAAAGUAGAAUGUGGUCCAUUUGUCCUGAAUCAUCACCUCCCACUUGCUCAAAAACUUCUCCACACCUUGUACAUCUACAACAGAUGCCAUAGAGUAAGAAGUCAAGAGCUUGACAAAGCAUAGUCCUUGGGGUUGCAUCUUUUUCUCGUCCAUCUCGCCAAGAAGCUUCACCACCAUGUCGUGAUCUUCAGCCUGAUGGUAGAGACAGAGCAUGGUGCUAUAGAAUUGAGGAUUGUUAUCAGCAAAACCAAGUUAUCUCAUCUUCUGAAAAGUAGUCUCAGCUAUGCCCAAAGAGCUGUGUGUUUUGCAGCAGCUCAAGAGAGCGUUGUACAAAUAAAUAUCUCUCUUUUCUACAGGAACAGUCUCGAAGAACUUAGCCGCUUCUUCCACACCACCAACUUUAGCAGCCAAGAAAAGUCGUCGCUCAAAAUCCAUUGAACUCAGCUUAUAGGCUUUUUGUUCAAUCAUCCAAUCCGAUACCUAAUAGCACAAAAAAAAAAACCUAAGAUUAACAAAUUUGUACAAGUCCCAAUUUUGCUUGUUUUUGAAAUCUCUAACCUGGAGAGCGUGAGAGAAGCGAUUGGAUCUGUGAAGAGAGGUAAUGAUGCUCCUGAGUUUUGAAAGUCCCGUUUGAUUUCCGCGUUGGCACCAUUCUCGGAGCAACGGAGUGAUGGAGACUGACGAAUCUUGGACUCUCUGGAUCCGACGCUUGAGAGUGUCAUUAAUGAGCUCCGGCGAAGGAAUGGUUUUGGGGAAAUGAACGAAGGAACGUCUGCAAGGAAGGAUCCAGAAGAAAUUACUGAAUUGUUGUCGGAGAAGAUGCUUCAUGCUCAAGCCAAAGAGAGACCACAAUUCCCAGACACACGACAAAACAAACCCUAGGUCUUCUCUGUCUCUGUCCAAG